GAUGCUGACGAGUGGCGACGGGUGAGUAAUACAUCGGAACGUGCCCGAUCGUGGGGGAUAACGGAGCGAAAGCUUUGCUAAUACCGCAUACGAUCUACGGAUGAAAGCAGGGGACCGCAAGGCCUUGCGCGGACGGAGCGGCCGAUGGCAGAUUAGGUAGUUGGUGGGAUAAAAGCUUACCAAGCCGACGAUCUGUAGCUGGUCUGAGAGGACGACCAGCCACACUGGGACUGAGACACGGCCCAGACUCCUACGGGAGGCAGCAGUGGGGAAUUUUGGACAAUGGGCGAAAGCCUGAUCCAGCCAUGCCGCGUGCAGGAUGAAGGCCUUCGGGUUGUAAACUGCUUUUGUACGGAACGAAAAGCCUCUUUCUAAUAAAGAGAGGUCAUGACGGUACCGUAAGAAUAAGCACCGGCUAACUACGUGCCAGCAGCCGCGGUAAUACGUAGGGUGCGAGCGUUAAUCGGAAUUACUGGGCGUAAAGCGUGCGCAGGCGGUGAUGUAAGACAGAUGUGAAAUCCCCGGGCUCAACCUGGGAACUGCAUUUGUGACUGCAUCGCUGGAGUGCGGCAGAGGGGGAUGGAAUUCCGCGUGUAGCAGUGAAAUGCG
RNAcentral lists this ribosomal RNA (609 nucleotides) under Acidovorax sp. EECC-292. RNAcentral's name for it is "bacterial SSU rRNA". It matches the Rfam family "Bacterial small subunit ribosomal RNA", at positions 84 to 690 of the family's 1533-position model. Lineage: Bacteria; Pseudomonadati; Pseudomonadota; Betaproteobacteria; Burkholderiales; Comamonadaceae. The record is from RNAcentral.